GACGAACGCUGGCGGCGUGCUUAACACAUGCAAGUCGAACGAAGUGGCGGACGGGUGAGUAACGCGUAAUCAACCUGCUCUUCAGAGGGGGACAACAGUUGGACACGACUACUAAUACCGCAUACUGAAGGAGGGGAUUGCGUCUGAUUAGCUAGUUGGAGGGGUAACGGCCCACCAAGGCGAUGAUCAGUAGCCGGUCUGAGAGGGUGAACGGCCACAUUGGGACUGAGACACGGCCCAGACUCCUACGGGAGGCAGCAGUGGGGAAUCUUCCGCAAUGGGCGGAAGUCUGACGGAGCAACGCCGCGUGAGUGAUGAAGGCCUUCGGGUUGUAAAGCUCUGUUAAUCGGGACGCGGUACCUGACUAGAAAGCCACGGCUAACUACGUGCCAGCAGCCGCGGUAAUUC
RNAcentral lists this ribosomal RNA (408 nucleotides) under uncultured bacterium. Its description in RNAcentral is "partial 16S ribosomal RNA". It matches the Rfam family "Bacterial small subunit ribosomal RNA", at positions 28 to 526 of the family's 1533-position model. The record is from RNAcentral.